CCUACGGGAGGCAGCAGUGAGGAAUAUUGGUCAAUGGACGUGAGUCUGAACCAGCCAAGUCGCGUGAGGGAUGAAGGCUCUAUGGAUUGUAAACCUCUUUUAUAAGGGAAUAAAACGCGGGACGUGUGCCGUUUUGCAUGUACCUUAUGAAUAAGGAUCGGCUAACUCCGUGCCAGCAGCCGCGGUAAUACGGAGGAUCCGAGCGUUAUCCGGAUUUAUUGGGUUUAAAGGGUGCGUAGGCGGGUUUUUAAGUCAGCUGUGAAAGUCUGUGGCUCAACCGUAGAAUUGCCGUUGAAACUGGCAGGCUUGAGUAUGUUUGAGGUAGGCGGAAUGCGUGGUGUAGCGGUGAAAUGCUUAGAUAUCACGCAGAACCCCGAUUGCGAAGGCAGCCUGCUAGGCCGUGACUGACGUUGAUGCACGAAAGUGUGGGUAUCAAACAGGAUUAGAUACCCUUGUAGUC
RNAcentral lists this ribosomal RNA (460 nucleotides) under uncultured bacterium. Its description in RNAcentral is "partial 16S ribosomal RNA". It matches the Rfam family "Bacterial small subunit ribosomal RNA", at positions 338 to 795 of the family's 1533-position model. The record is from RNAcentral.